This 54-nucleotide microRNA precursor is filed under the name Pongo abelii (Sumatran orangutan). RNAcentral's name for it is "miRNA". Lineage: Eukaryota; Metazoa; Chordata; Mammalia; Primates; Hominidae. The record is from RNAcentral.
AGGGAAGGAGGCUUGGUCUUAGUGCGGGGUCUAAGGCCGGGGCUUUCCUCCCAG